Long non-coding RNA from Vanessa tameamea, 221 nucleotides. RefSeq lists it as uncharacterized. The record is from RefSeq and is a predicted model, not a curated record. NCBI's taxonomy places the organism in Eukaryota, Metazoa, Arthropoda, Insecta, Lepidoptera, Nymphalidae. The transcript has 2 exons.
GUACCACCCAUUGAUUAGAUAUUCCACUGCCAAACAACAGUACUCAGUAUUGUUGUGUUCCGGUUUGAAGGGUGAGUGAGCCAGUGUAACUACAGGCACAAGGGGCAUAACAUCUUAGUUCCCAAGGUUGGUAGCGCAUUGGUGAUGUAAGGAAUAGUUAAUAUUUCUUACAGCGUCAUUGUCUAUGGGCGGUGGUGACCACUUACAAUGAGUUGGCCCAU